CUACGGGUUGCAGCAGUGGGGAAUAUUGGACAAUGGGGGAAACCCUGAUCCAGCAAUGCCGCGUGUGUGAAGAAGGCCUGCGGGUUGUAAAGCACUUUCGGUUGGGAGGACUGCUUCUAGCACUAAUAUUGUUGGAAGUUGACGUUACCUUCAGAAGAAGCACCGGCUAACUCCGUGCCAGCAGCCGCGGUAAUACGGAGGGUGCAAGCGUUAAUCGGAAUUACUGGGCGUAAAGCGCGCGUAGGCGGCUAGAUCAGUCGGGUGUGAAAGCCCCGGGCUUAACCUGGGAACUGCAUCCGAUACUGUCUAGCUUGAGUACAGGAGAGGAGAGUGGAAUUCCACAUGUAGCGGGGAAAUGCGUAGAUAUGUGGAGGAACACCAAUGGCGAAGGCAGCUCUCUGGCCUGAUACUGACGCUGAAGUGCGAAAGCGUGGGGAGCAAACAGGAUUAGAUACCCGAGUAGUC
This 465-nucleotide ribosomal RNA is filed under the name uncultured bacterium. RNAcentral describes it as "partial 16S ribosomal RNA". It matches the Rfam family "Bacterial small subunit ribosomal RNA", at positions 339 to 795 of the family's 1533-position model. The record is from RNAcentral.